GAGCCAAACUGGCUACGGUCUGCCCCCACUUUUAUUACUCAUUUCAAUGGCAUCUCAUAGAGAGGUGCUCCCUCUUUACCUGAACACCUGCUUGGGAUAAGUAGUUACUCGUAUUUAAAAGGUGAAACCACAAUUAUAUAAAUCCAGAUAGUAAACUGCUAUGGGAAAUAACUUUAAGAGUCUGAGCUCACCUAUCCUGUCCUCCAAGAGCGGUUCCUGUGAGACCCAAUUUCUCGCCUCUGAAUUCUUUCUCUGGUCUCUAUUACCACAUGAUCCCCUGGGUUGGAGGACUCCUAUCCAGAUCACAUAUCACUUCACUAAGUUUAAAUUCUGUCGUUAGGGACAGUCCUCUGAUUCCCGUGCCUUGCAAUGUUUGUAGGAUGUGCCUCGUCUUAGUUGAGUGAAUGUUUUAAAGGGAUUCCAGAUUUAGGGAAGACCUCCAGAAAAGGUGCAGUCCUUACUCUUGAUUCCAGGCAAAUCUAGGCCACUCCGGGCACACGCAGAUCACUCCUGCAGGACUGUUAGCAGGGAGUGUGUUGUCAUUGUCCUCCAAAUGCCAUUGAUUCCCACCUGCCCGCUGCUCACCCUGCUUGGGUUCUUCCAUAACUCUAGCUGGAACAUGGCCUCACAUCCGCUCUAAAUCCUUCAUGUACCAGACACUGGAUUAGUAGGUGCUCAACCUUUUAAGAUGGGCUAAGUUUAUGUUGCUUAUGACCAAGUUCUGAGAAGAUGAAGACCGAGGAUUGUCUCGUUUGGUUCUUGAUCUAAAAGAUGAUGGAUUUCCAUUCUAGUACAAGAUAGUACUCCCUGGUAUUUAACAGAUUAUAGGAGUUAAAUUUUUGUAUACUGGAAAGUACCAAAGGCUCCAUAAUUUUUAUUAAGUUAUAAGAUUCAGUUGAAAUGGACCAAUUUCAUAUAUUCUGCUUUUUUAUGACACUACAUCAAUUACUUAUUUUUAUAGUCAACAAUUUGGGAGGUAGGUGGGUGACUGAGGUCACAGGGUGAAAUAAUUUGUUGGAGGUCAAAAACAGAAAGUGGAAGAUGUAAACCUGUCAAGCCUGUUUCCAAAUCUUAGCUUCCCAUUGUCUUUAGAAUCAUGUCCAAAUUCUGCAAGGUUUCGACUUGGGCUGGUGAAAGGAACUUUUGGAGCUCACUGUCCUCAACUGUAAAAUGAGAAGAUCAGGGCCAUUGUGGAAUUCUGUUAUUUAAAAACACACAGGAGGUGUUCAAUAGCAGAAUUGUGAUAGUCCAGGUUUCUUCACAGUCCGCUACUACUCUGCAUGUGAAUGGCAACUAUUCGCAGAACUUAAUAUGGUGCCUUCUGUUCAGUGGGUGCUCACAUCUCUGGGUGAAAGGGAUGCAGGUGCUGGAUCAGUGUAACCAGGACUAGAAUUGAGGUCUCUAGAGCGUGCCCAGGCGCAACAGUGAGCAGAGUGAUUUCACCAGUGAGGAGGGCCUUGAGCAGGUCAUGAGAUGUCAGUCAGCUGCUCUGAAGGGCGGUGGAUUUGGCCUUUUGGAGUCUGUCUGGGUUUGGAAAGAAAGCUCUUUGAUGACCUCUUCUGGCAAACAGGAAGAAGUGAUGAGAGUUUCAUAGCGAUUGAGAUCCUGAGAAUGCUUUCCAGUUUGCAAUGUAGGGGUGGAGUUAGCAGUCAUGAUGUCAUUUUACCUGGACAUUGGACCUGUGAUGUGGAGAUUACUGCCCCUGAACCAUAAAGAAACUGAAGGUCAGAGAGGUAAUGGUCUUGUUCAGGAUAGUGUGCCUUUUGGAGGUACCACCUCCAAGCUGGUACCCUUCCCACCAUAUGAGGGAACCUGGAAUGGAUUUAGAGGAAAGCUGAGAGGAUGAGAUGUAGAGUGGGGCCACCUUAGAGUCUGCGAGAAGGCCUCCUAUUUUUUUCUGCAAUUAAAAGACAACUAGAGAAGUGGCCUUUUGAAAAACUUUACAGCUGGGAAAACCCUUCAAGCUUGACUGCUCCUGUUUUACUGAUAAGAAAAUUGAGGCCCUAGGAAACUGGGGAAAAUGUGGAAGCAUUUUAGAUGACUAUCUCUAUUAACCACCUGGAAUACACAGUUACCAUUUUGCUAUAUUUGUUUUAUAGAAACAGCUAUCCCUUUUAGAGGGCUCUUCUUAUUUUAUUUAUUUUUUGAGGUCUUUAAAAAAAAAAUCCCUGAUUUAAAUCUUUUUCAGGGGCAAAGAAGGAGUGGCUAGUUAUAUGGUGAUGGUAGGAAACGGUUUACAAUAUGGUUUCCAUAUUAUUAUGGGAAAUAUGAAAUUCUUUACAGUGUUAAUUUUAAGUCUUAAUUUUUAACAUUGGGAACAAGAAAAAAUUUGUCUGCAAUAUUCUCAUUAAUUCCAGGGCCAGAUGAAGGGAGACUGAGAACAUUUGUCAUGUCACCCUAUUGACAUUUUGAAGAGAUCCCGUUGAAAUAGAGCAUAAACACAUCCCUGUUGGGAAAGACAGGAGCAGUGUUUUCUGAUGACAAACAGUAUUUGUUGGAGCUACAGGAGUGUGGAAGCAAUUUCAGGGUUGCCAGGGUGAGGUUUUGUUUGGGGGUGGGGAGUGGAGACAGCUGGAGUGGAGAGCGCUGGCCCAACUCCAGCUACACUUGCUCUAAUAUUUUUUUUCUUUUUAUUAGUGUAGCCUACCUAAUGGUAUGAAUUUAGCUGACCCCCCUCCCCCAAUUGUCUGGAGCAGUCCCAUUUUUUUUCUGCCUGUAACUACACCUACAUUAACGGAAAUAUUCUUCAGUCUUGCUGGAAGUUUCUGGUUAUAUUUAAAUUAUGUCUUGUUAGGGGGCUGGGAUCAGGCUGGGAGGGGACUGGAGUCACUGCAGUCACUUCCCGAGGGCAGUUUCACGGGUUCUGCUCUGACACAUUUCUCUUUGAUUCUUCCAGAGGCUCUGGCAGAGCGAAUUCACACAGGUGCCCUGGAAAGUGGGCCACAGCCUCCACAGGACAUGCCUGCUAAAAUGCCCGGUGCAAUGUCCUGGUGUUUGAUGGCAUUCGCAGCUUGAGAAAUCCUUAAGGAAGCAACAGGAGGAAAAAUUGAUAGAAGCCUCAUCUAGCCUGGGCCCUCACGAUUCUAGGCCACUCAGGCCUGGGAGAGAUGCUUGCAGGGCACCCUUGAACGCCUUGGUAUCCUCAGAACUUCAGCGUGGACAGUCAGAAAAAAGGCCUGGCGCCUUCGUUGCCUGACUCACCCAGACUUCAGGCUUUCUGAAUUCAGACCAGCAAUGAGUAAAGUAGGGAGAAGGGCCUCUUUAAUUUUUUCAUUAAAAAGUAAUUUUUCUUUUAAAUAAAGUGCUAAGUGAAAGGGGCUAGUAGCCUCUUCGAAGACUCACGAAUGGAUCUUCCCCCUUAAAUAAAGUGA
Long non-coding RNA from Myotis myotis, 3371 nucleotides. RefSeq lists it as uncharacterized. The transcript has 3 exons. The record is from RefSeq and is a predicted model, not a curated record. Lineage: Eukaryota; Metazoa; Chordata; Mammalia; Chiroptera; Vespertilionidae.